Molecule: small RNA, 2256 nt
Filed under: Pan troglodytes (chimpanzee)
Lineage: Eukaryota; Metazoa; Chordata; Mammalia; Primates; Hominidae
Description: retained intron
Source: RNAcentral
GCGUGCGCCCAGCCGGCUCCGUGGGCUCCUCGCGCGCGCUCUGACAGCGUGCCGGGAUCUCUUUGUUUGGUUGUGGCUUCCCUAGCUCUCGGCAAAGCAGACGGAUUUUCGGUUUCGUUUGAUACCGCGCUCUGGGACUUAGUGCGGGCCACAGCCUCGAAUGCCCCUGGUCGGCAGCUUCACUCCCGAGGGUGCCGCGAGCCCAGGCGGCGAACACCCGGUACCCCUGGCGCAGAGAGGUGGGAUGCUGUACGGACAGCAGCGCUAAGUGCCCCCCACCCCCGGCGCGGGGUGCACUCGCUCCUGGCCGCGGGCCCAGCGGCGGCGGCGGCGGAGGGGAUGAGCCCGGGACGCGCGAGGCGCCUGCCUCAAGCUACCGCCCGGAGAGGGACGCCGAGUAGGGCUCAUCGCAGUACCGCGCGGACCCCUGCCCCCCGUGGCACGCGGCUGCGGAGCCUUGAAGCCGCGUCUGUGAUCAGGAUGCACUGGGCGCCUCGCAGCUGGUGAGGAUGCCCUGCUGCGCGGCCCUGCGCCCCCAGCCCCAGUCCCAGGUGGGCAAGACUGACUGGGCCCGGCUUCGGCCCCUCGUGCCGGUGGAUGAAACGUGCCGGAGUGCUUGGGUGCCAUCAGCUAUCAAAUCUGAAUUCUAAGCGCCAUGGACGAAGGCACUGGACUGCAGCCCGGGGCGGGAGAGCAGCUGGAGGCGCCGGCCACUGCAGAAGCUGUCCAGGAGAGGUGCGAGCCGGAGACCUUCAGGUCUAAGAGUUUACCGGUCCUCAGCAGCGCCUCCUGCCGGCCAAGCCUCAGUCCCACUAGUGGAGACGCCAACACGGCCUUUGGCUGUGUGGAUUCUUCGGGCCACCAGGAGUUGAAGCAAGGCCCGAACCCGUUGGCCCCCAGUCCCUCUGCCCCGUCCACUUCGGCGGGGCUCGGGGACUGUAACCACAGGGUGGACCUCAGCAAAACCUUCUCGGUGUCCUCCGCCUUGGCCAUGCUCCAGGAGAGAAGGUGCCUCUAUGUGGUCCUCACGGAUUCCCGUUGCUUCCUGGUGUGCAUGUGCUUUCUGACCUUCAUCCAGGCGUUAAUGGUCUCUGGGUACCUGAGCAGCGUAAUUACCACCAUUGAAAGGCGCUACAGUCUGAAGAGUUCCGAGUCGGGGCUGCUGGUCAGCUGCUUUGACAUCGGGAACCUGGUGGUGGUGGUGUUCGUCAGUUACUUCGGCGGCCGGGGUCGGCGGCCCCUGUGGCUGGCCGUGGGUGGACUCCUCAUCGCCUUCGGGGCAGCCCUCUUUGCCUUACCUCACUUCAUCUCGCCCCCCUACCAGAUCCAAGAGUUGAACGCCUCGGCCCCCAACGACGGCCUGUGUCAGGGUGGCAACUCCACCGCCACUUUGGAGCCUCCGGCCUGUCCGAAGGACUCGGGAGGAAAUAAUCACUGGGUCUACGUGGCUUUAUUCAUUUGCGCGCAGAUUCUCAUUGGAAUGGGCUCCACACCUAUUUAUACCCUGGGACCAACCUACAUAGAUGACAAUGUCAAGAAAGAAAACUCCUCCUUGUACCUAGCCAUCAUGUAUGUCAUGGGAGCACUUGGCCCUGCAGUGGGAUAUUUAUUAGGUGGACUUCUUAUUGGUUUUUAUGUUGAUCCCAGAAAUCCUGUUCACCUUGACCAGAAUGACCCUCGUUUCAUUGGAAACUGGUGGAGUGGAUUCCUCCUUUGUGCCAUUGCAAUGUUUCUUGUGAUAUUCCCAAUGUUUACUUUCCCAAAAAAGCUUCCACCUCGACACAAGAAAAAGAAAAAGAAAAAAUUUUCUGUUGAUGCUGUUAGUGAUGACGAUGUUCUGAAGGAGAAAUCAAACAACAGUGAACAAGCAGACAAAAAAGUUUCUUCGAUGGGAUUUGGAAAGGAUGUCAGAGGGGUUAUUAUCGUCCCCAGUGCUGGUGUUGGUAUUGUCCUCGGAGGCUACAUUAUAAAAAAAUUGAAACUUGGUGCCAGAGAAUCUGCAAAACUAGCAAUGAUCUGCAGUGGUGUGUCUUUACUAUGUUUUUCAACCCUAUUUAUUGUUGGAUGUGAAAGCAUUAAUCUAGGGGGCAUAAACAUCCCUUAUACAACAGGGUAAGUACCUCUUAAGAGCCGUGCCGUGUCGUGUCUGCACGAUGGAGGUGCAAAGCCCUGUGGUGUUUGUGCAUCUGCAGUCAGACUCGUACCCCUCCCUCCAAGCUGUUCUCCCUGUGUGUGCUCUGUGUGCUCUGCCUCUCC